RNAcentral lists this ribosomal RNA (450 nucleotides) under uncultured bacterium. RNAcentral's name for it is "partial 16S ribosomal RNA". It matches the Rfam family "Bacterial small subunit ribosomal RNA", at positions 354 to 796 of the family's 1533-position model. The record is from RNAcentral.
GUGGGGAAUUUUGGACAAUGGGCGCAAGCCUGAUCCAGCAAUGCCGCGUGCAGGAAGAAGGCCUUCGGGUUGUAAACUGCUUUUGUACGGAACGAAACGGUCCUGGUUAAUACCCGGGGCUAAUGACGGUACCGUAAGAAUAAGCACCGGCUAACUACGUGCCAGCAGCCGCGGUAAUACGUAGGGUGCAAGCUUUAAUCGGAAUUACUGGGCGUAAAGCGUGCGCAGGCGGUGCUGUAAGACAGGCGUGAAAUCCCCGGGCUUAACCUGGGAAUUGCGCUUGUGCCUGCAGUGCUGGAGUGCGGCAGAGGGGGAUGGAAUUCCGCGUGUAGCAGUGAAAUGCGUAGAUAUGCGGAGGAACACCGAUGGCGAAGGCAAUCCCCUGGGCCUGCACUGACGCUCAUGCACGAAAGCGUGGGGAGCAAACAGGAUUAGAUACCCUGGUAGUCC